This 347-nucleotide ribosomal RNA is filed under the name uncultured bacterium. RNAcentral's name for it is "bacterial SSU rRNA". It matches the Rfam family "Bacterial small subunit ribosomal RNA", at positions 1 to 334 of the family's 1533-position model. The record is from RNAcentral.
CUAGCGACUUCAGAGUUUGAUCCUGGCUCAGGAUGAACGCUGGCGGCGUGCCUAACACAUGCAAGUCGAACGAAGCGCUUAGAAGUUUUCGGACAGAAGAGUGACUGAGUGGCGGACGGGUGAGUAACGCGUGGGUAACCUGCCUUAUACAGGGGGAUAACAGUUAGAAAUGACUGCUAAUACCGCAUAAGCGCACAGUAUCGCAUGAUACAGUGUGAAAAGCCGAGACGGUAUAAGAUGGACCCGCGUCUGAUUAGCUAGUUGGUGGGGUAACGGCCCACCAAGGCGACGAUCAGUAGCCGACCUGAGAGGGUGACCGGCCACAUUGGGACUGAGACACGGCCCAA